AAACAUCCAAUAGACGAGUAUGUGAGAGAUUUGUAUGAUGUAAAUU
RNAcentral lists this non-coding RNA (46 nucleotides) under Trypanosoma brucei brucei. The record is from RNAcentral. Lineage: Eukaryota; Euglenozoa; Kinetoplastea; Trypanosomatida; Trypanosomatidae.